RNAcentral lists this long non-coding RNA (380 nucleotides) under Vulpes vulpes (red fox). RNAcentral's name for it is "lncRNA (ENSVVUG00000028819.1)". The record is from RNAcentral. Lineage: Eukaryota; Metazoa; Chordata; Mammalia; Carnivora; Canidae.
ACUACAUUCAAUUGGUAUUUUGGCCCCAUCAAUGAGUUAAAAUUUUGAGCCAAACUUCAGACUUUUCAAAUAAGAUCCUGAAAUCAAGGCUGAAUUUUGGCAUCUCACGAAAAGCUUUGCUUGACUAAGAUACCAUACCCAGCCAAAUGGCAGGGUAUUGGCACUUGAACUGAAAACUUUCUGGAAGACAAACAUCCCUUCUGAGUACUUCAGACAGAAAGUAGCAACGAUACUUAACAUAUGUGAUUGCCAAAAGUGACCAAUUUUUCUUUACAUAUGGAGACAAUGAGAAGUUACUUCAAGCAACUCAACUAUGAAGAUACCAAAGGUGAUAAGUGGGGAAUUGAAGACUCCAAGGAAUUAAUGUACCCCAGAGUAAG